Molecule: ribosomal RNA, 253 nt
Filed under: uncultured bacterium
Lineage: Bacteria
Description: partial 16S ribosomal RNA
Rfam family: Bacterial small subunit ribosomal RNA
Source: RNAcentral
UACGUAGGUGGCAAGCGUUGUCCGGAUUUACUGGGCGUAAAGAGCGCGCAGGCGGUCGUUCAAGUCGCGUGUGAAAGCCCCCGGCUCAACUGGGGAGGGUCACGCGAUACUGAUCGACUCGAAGGCAGGAGAGGGUAGUGGAAUUCCCGGUGUAGUGGUGAAAUGCGUAGAUAUCGGGAGGAACACCAGUGGCGAAGGCGGCGAUCUGGGAAGAUACUGACGCUGAGGUGCGAAAGCGUGGGGAGCAAACAGG